CUCCCUCCUCUUCCUCCUCAGGGAUAUACUCUGGUUGAGUAUGAAACCUACAAAGAAGCGCAGGCGGCCAUGGAGGGGCUGAACGGGCAGGAGCUGAUGGGGCAGCCCAUCAGCGUGGAUUGGUGCUUCGUGAGAGGGCCCCCCAAGGGGAAGAGAAGGGGCGGGCCCCGGCGGAGCAGGAGCCCCGACAGGCGACGCCGAUGAUGGACCCUCAUCCCUACCCGUGCGUUCCACGUCCAAACUGGGAGAACUGGGAGGGGAAAAAGGGGCCGGUGAUGGGGGGGGGUGGGGGGGGUUUGUAUUUUGGGGCGUUUGAGGAACAGUUCAUCGCUUCGGCCGAUUCGAUCCCUCCCAAAAUUUUACUGUUUUCAAGCAAAAACGGGGGAGGGAAGAAGCGACGCCUGAGGUUUGGAGGGGGGGGUGCAGCCCCCUGAGCCUGGGGACGCCCCAAAACCCCCCCUUUUUUUAAGCAUUUUGUUACCCCUGGAGUGAGGGGGGUGUUUUGGCCUCUCUUUGGGGUUUUUUUGGGAGAAAAAUUGGUUUUCUACCACCCCCUGGGACGAGCGCUCCCCCAUCUCCCAAGGGAUUUAUUACGUUUGCGCCUCAAUUCCGCCUUUUAAAGAACUGGGUUUUGGUGUAAAAAUCCUCCUUUCGUUAGUUUUGUUAUUUGUCCUUAAUUAAAACAUUCUGAGAAGCCGGAA
Molecule: long non-coding RNA, 701 nt
Organism: Calidris pugnax (ruff)
Lineage: Eukaryota; Metazoa; Chordata; Aves; Charadriiformes; Scolopacidae
Exons: 2
Source: RefSeq, a predicted model, not a curated record